UCGAGAAUCUUCCGCAAUGGGCGAAAGCCUGACGGAGCGACACCGCGUGCAGGACGAAGGCCUUCGGGUUGUAAACUGCUGUCACGCUCUAGGAAUGCCAUGCUGUUAAUAGCGGCAUGGUUGACCAAGGCGAGAGGAAGUGGCGGCUAACUCUGUGCCAGCAGCCGCGGUAAGACAGAGGCCACGAACGUUGUUCGGAAUUACUGGGCAUAAAGCGCGCGUAGGCGGCUGGGUCCGUCCGAUGUGAAAGCCCCCGGCUCAACCGGGGAAGUGCAUCGGAUACAGCCCGGCUUGAGGACGGUUGGGGUGAGUGGAACUCCUGGUGGAGCGGUGAAAUGCGUAGAUAUCAGGAGGAACACCGGUGGCGAAAGCGGCUCACUGGACCGUUACUGACGCUGAGGUGCGAAAGCUAGGGGAGCAAACAGGAUUAGAUACCCGGGUAGUCCCUGAGCGGGCUGGCAAGGCGCAU
Molecule: ribosomal RNA, 469 nt
Filed under: uncultured bacterium
Lineage: Bacteria
Description: bacterial SSU rRNA
Rfam family: Bacterial small subunit ribosomal RNA
Source: RNAcentral